Molecule: long non-coding RNA, 1824 nt
Organism: Zingiber officinale
Lineage: Eukaryota; Viridiplantae; Streptophyta; Magnoliopsida; Zingiberales; Zingiberaceae
Exons: 4
Source: RefSeq, a predicted model, not a curated record
UCAUUUCAGGGAGGAGCUCGAUCUCGACCUCCGAAGCCGACGCUUCACUCUGCCUCUUCCUAUCCGGCUACUUGAAGGUGAUCUCCGAUCUUCCACUAAUCCAGAGCUGGAUUUCUGGGUAAAACGUUGAUCUUCUCCUCGAUCCGUUCGUGAGCAAACAAGCUCGAUCAAAGCUAGGUCUUGUAAUUUUUGGUUAACAUUCCAUUCCCCUGCAUUUCCGUGUGCUUUGAGAUGUUCAUGAAAAACAUUAGGAGGCGAGGCUACGAAUUAGUGUCCGUUGUUUUUUUUUUGGUUCUCGAUUGACGAUUUAUUCCGGGGCUUCUCUGUUUAGGGUUUAGGAGGUUGUUGGCGAAUUUUCGACAAUCUUUGUAUUCUCAUUUUUAGGUGCAUAGGUUGCCCUCGAUUAAGCUUUAUUAGAGAUCUCGCAUCGUGUGAUUCGUCUACCCCGUGCCUCAGAUCAGCCGAUGAGCAGAUUUUCUGUCCGCAAAGCGACAGAAGAUUGAGAUAUGUCGUCAAGCGGGCUUCCUAUUAGCAAUUAACAUCACAAAAAUGUUGCAGUGGAUGGGAGGCUCGCGGAGAAAGGUGAAUGCUUCCAGAAAGUCAAUGCUUAACAAGCAAAAGCAUUACUUUGAACAAAGGAAACGUCAACUACAGAGAACUGGACUGGAUGAUCAUAUUGGUGUUAGUAGCAAAUGGCUUCAUUAUAAUGAGGAAGUGCGAUCCCUUGACAUAUUGAACUUCAUAAAUUUGGCUACAGUUACUCGUGAAGGUUGUUUAAAUUAGAGCAUUUAUGGGAUUAACACCUUUUGUGUGAUUGCGUAAAUUUUGUUAGCUCUUGGUAGUAUGAAGUUUAAUUCAUAAAAGAUUGAAAAUCGCAUUCCUGAAUUUUUGUAUACAAGCUUUUGUCCCCUGCAUAUACUUUUAUUUGCAAAAUAAUUUAGCACAUUCUGGUCAACUUGAAUGUUCUCAUUCUCAACUUAGUUCUAAAUUCUAUUGCUUAAAAAAACCGUAUUUUACUUUCCCUGACUAAUUGGACCUACCAUGUGAAAUUUUUAUUUCUGCUCAUUUUUUUCUAGGAACUAAUGGAAAUUUUUUUCUGAAUUCCAUUGCUUAAAAAACCUUAUUAGUUUGCUGCUAAUUGAUAAUAAUCUGAAGUCCUUACUUCUUAGUUUUGGGCAUAUUUGAUUCCUUAUCCUACAACUUUAUUCCUUACAUCUGAGCCAAAUGUUUUAGAAAUAAGUUUUCAAGGAUUAUAUUGGUCUAAAUAGGCAUGAAAAUAUUGUACUACUAUGUAACCAAUACUUGACUUCCAUUUCACUAAGUAAUCCUAUUCUUCUUAAAUGGAGAAACUAUUGUAAGCUUCUACCUUAUGUAUUUACAAUUGAACUCAACUUGUAAGGUUGUAUCCAAGUGGAGUUGUUUUAAAAUAUCAUUUUCUCCCAUGAAUUUUAGUUUGUGGUCAUUGGAAGAUUGGAUAUGUAGAAUUCAGUUGCAGCUUCAUAAAGCUUCUGUAGAGCUCUUUUUAAAUGAAAUGGUUUGUCAUUAUGCUAGAACAUUCCUAGUAAUAUAGCCUUGCAUAGACCUCAAUACAGGGAGAAGAUAUAUGUAUCCAAUUGACCCCAAAUAAUUGGAACAACAACUUGAAGAUGAUGGUGAUGAUUUUUAUGCUAUGUCCUGGAAGAAGUUUCUUAAGCUUGGAGUUUGUAUGUUUUACUAUAACAUAUAUUAGUUUGUUGUAAACAACAGUGAAGACUAUUUUGGGUGCUCUCAUUUUAUAUUUAUUUGAUGAUUGCUACCAGGUAAUCAACUAGAGACUACACGGGC